UGGGGAAUAUUGCACAAUGGGCGCAAGCCUGAUGCAGCCAUGCCGCGUGUGUGAAGAAGGCCUUCGGGUUGUAAAGCACUUUCAGCGAGGAGGAAGGUGGUGAGCUUAAUACGCUCAUCAAUUGACGUUACUCGCAGAAGAAGCACCGGCUAACUCCGUGCCAGCAGCCGCGGUAAUACGGAGGGUGCAAGCGUUAAUCGGAAUUACUGGGCGUAAAGCGCACGCAGGCGGUUUGUUAAGUCAGAUGUGAAAUCCCCGGGCUCAACCUGGGAACUGCAUUUGAAACUGGCAAGCUAGAGUCUCGUAGAGGGGGGUAGAAUUCCAGGUGUAGCGGUGAAAUGCGUAGAGAUCUGGAGGAAUACCGGUGGCGAAGGCGGUCCCCCUGGACGAGGACUGACGCUCAGGUGCGAAAGCGUGGGGCAGCAAACAGGAUUAGAUACCCUGGUAGUCCAGCGCUGUAAACGAUGUCGAUUUGGAGGUUGUGCCCCUUGAGGCGUGGCUUCCGGAGCUAACGCGUUAAAAUCGACCGCC
This 531-nucleotide ribosomal RNA is filed under the name uncultured bacterium. RNAcentral's name for it is "partial 16S ribosomal RNA". It matches the Rfam family "Bacterial small subunit ribosomal RNA", at positions 355 to 873 of the family's 1533-position model. The record is from RNAcentral.